Long non-coding RNA from Archocentrus centrarchus (flier cichlid), 147 nucleotides. RefSeq lists it as uncharacterized. The record is from RefSeq and is a predicted model, not a curated record. Lineage: Eukaryota; Metazoa; Chordata; Actinopteri; Cichliformes; Cichlidae. The transcript has 3 exons.
UCCACUGGGGAUGCACGGAUCUAUGUGAGUCCAUUAUAGAUCAGGACGAGAAGAUUCAAGGAAAUUCAAGUCAGAACAGUGUUGGGAAGUGGCUCACCACCACUAUCACUGAGGAAGAUGCAAAGCAAGAGCCACUGCAGGAAGCAG